Molecule: non-coding RNA, 156 nt
Filed under: Alligator mississippiensis (American alligator)
Lineage: Eukaryota; Metazoa; Chordata; Crocodylia; Alligatoridae
Source: Rfam by way of RNAcentral
GAAAGUUGAAAAGAACUUUGAAGAGAGAGUUCAAGAGGGCAUGAAACUGUUAAGAGGUAAACGGGUGGGGUCUGUGCAUUCUGCCUGGAGGAUUCAACCUGGCGGGCUCGGUCAGCCAGCCCAGGAUGGAUCCCCCUCGCCCCCCCCUCUGCGGGG